This 472-nucleotide ribosomal RNA is filed under the name uncultured bacterium. RNAcentral describes it as "partial 16S ribosomal RNA". It matches the Rfam family "Bacterial small subunit ribosomal RNA", at positions 28 to 507 of the family's 1533-position model. The record is from RNAcentral.
GAUGAACGCUGGCGGCGUGCCUAACACAUGCAAGUCGAGCGGCAGCGCGGGGUGCUUGCACCCUGUCGGCGAGCGGCGGACGGCUGAGUAACGCGUGGGUACGUGCCCCAAAGUGCGGAAUAACUGCCCGAAAGGGGAGCUAAUACCGCAAAUUAUCUUUGAACCACAGGGUUUAUUAGUUAUGGGCGCGGCUCUGGUCAGGUUUGGAGGGUUGGGCGCUGCAUGAGCUAGUAGGUGAGGUAACGGCCCACGAAGGCGACGAUGCGUAGCCGGCCUGAGAGGAUGACCAGCCAGACUUGAAGUGGGACACGGUCCAGACUCCUACGGGAGGCAGGAGUGAGGAAUCUUCCACAAUGGGCGGAAGCCUGAUGGUGCAACGCCGGGUGCAGGACGAAGGCCUUCGGGUUGUAAACUGCUUUUAUAAGUGAGGAAUAUGACGGUAACUUAUGAAUAAGCAUCGGCUAACUACGUG